GUGCUUGUUUCAGCAGCACAUAUACUGAAGUUAGAAUGAUUCAGAGAAGAUGGUCAUCGUCCCUGUGCAGAAAAUGAUGGGCAAAUUUGUGACAUGUUGUAUAUUUUG
Molecule: small nuclear RNA, 108 nt
Filed under: Chinchilla lanigera (long-tailed chinchilla)
Lineage: Eukaryota; Metazoa; Chordata; Mammalia; Rodentia; Chinchillidae
Source: RNAcentral